RNAcentral lists this ribosomal RNA (84 nucleotides) under Pseudoalteromonas arctica. RNAcentral's name for it is "partial 16S ribosomal RNA". It matches the Rfam family "Bacterial small subunit ribosomal RNA", at positions 1455 to 1533 of the family's 1533-position model. Lineage: Bacteria; Pseudomonadati; Pseudomonadota; Gammaproteobacteria; Alteromonadales; Pseudoalteromonadaceae. RNAcentral also lists the same sequence under 2 other names. The record is from RNAcentral.
UACCACGGAGUGAUUCAUGACUGGGGUGAAGUCGUAACAAGGUAGCCCUAGGGGAACCUGGGGCUGGAUCACCUCCUUAUACGA